Solanum verrucosum is the source of this 1860-nucleotide RNA transcript. It is a transcript of the gene named ATP synthase subunit beta, chloroplastic-like, with no coding region annotated. The transcript has a single exon. NCBI's taxonomy places the organism in Eukaryota, Viridiplantae, Streptophyta, Magnoliopsida, Solanales, Solanaceae. The record is from RefSeq and is a predicted model, not a curated record.
GAAAGAAAAACGCAAAGAAAAAGAAUAGGCUAGGCAUAAAUCGAUAUGCUGAAAUUUAAAUAAAAAAUAAAUAAGAAGAGGAGCCCAUUAGAUACAAAUAAUGAAUCGUAAUAGAAAUAGAAAAUAAAGUUCAGGUUCGAAUUCCAUAGAAUCGAUAAUAUGGGUGGGCUUGUCUAUAAUGAUAGACAAAUGAAAGAAUUUCUCAAGAUUCUGAUUCAUCCACUUGAGAUUUUUAAAUGAAAAUAGGUUGGGUGAGCUUCCAAAUUAACUCAGUCUCAUUGAAUAAGUAAACAAUUGGAUUGGUUCAAUUGCAUGGUGCCAACGAAAUCGAGUGCUAAUUCCGAUUUUUUUGAAUUAACCGAUCGACGUGCUAGCGGACAUUUAUUUUGAAUUCGAUAAUUUUUGAAAAAACAUUUCGACAUAUUUAUUUUAUUAUUAUGAGAAUCAAUCCUACUACUUCUGGUUCUGGGGUUUCCACGCUUGAAAAAAAAAACCCGGGGCGUGUCGUCCAAAUCAUCGGUCCGGUACUAGAUGUAGCCUUUCCCCCGGGCAAGAUGCCAAAUAUUUAUAACGCUCUGGUAGUUCAAGGUCGAGAUAGUGUUGGUCAACCAAUUAAUGUGGCUUGUGAGGUACAGCAAUUAUUAGGAAAUAAUCGAGUUAGGGCUGUAGCUAUGAGUGCUACAGACGGUCUAACGAGAGGAAUGGCAGUGAUUGACACAGGAGCUCCUAUACGUGUUCCAGUCGGGGAGCGACUCUGGGACGAAUUUUUAACGUGCUCGGAGAGCCUGUUGAUAAUUUAGGGCCUGUAGAUACUAGUUACAACGUCUCCUAUUCAUAGAUCUGCGCCCGCCUUUAUACAGUUGGAUACAAAUUAUCUAUUUUUGAAACAGGAAUUAAAGUAGUAGAUCUUUUAGCCCCCUAUCGCCGUGGAGGAAAUAAUCGGACUAUUCGGGGGAGCUGGAGUGGGUAAAACAGUACUCAUUAUGGAAUUGAUUAACAAUAUUGCUAAGCUCACGGGGGCGUAUCCGUAUUUGGCGGAGUGGGUGAACGUACUCGGAAGGAAAUGAUCUUUUACAUGGAAAUGAAAAAUCUGGGAGUGAUUAAUUAAAGAAAUAUUGCAGAAUCAAAAGUGGCCCUAGUUUACGGUCAGAUGAAUGAACCGCCGGGAGCUCGUAUGAGAGUUGGUUUGACUGCCCUAACUAUGGCGGAAUAUUUCCGAGAUGUUAAUGAGCAAGACGUACUUCUAUUUAUUGACAAUAUCUUCCGUUUCGUCCAAGCAGGAUCCGAAGUAUCGGCCUUAUUGGGUAGAAUGCCUUCCGCUGUGGGUUAUCAACCGACCCUACAGUACCGAAAAUGGGUUCUUUACAAGAAAGAAUUACUUCUACCAAAGACGGGUCCAUAACCUCUAUUCAAGCAGUUUAUGUACCCGCAGACGAUUUGACCGACCCUGCUCCUGCUACGACAUUUGCACAUUUAGAUGCUACUACCGUACUAUCAAGAGGAUUGGCUGCCAAAGGUAUUUAUCCAGCAGUAGAUCCUUUAGAUUCAACGUCAACCAUGCUUCAACCUCGGAUCGUUGGUGAGGAACAUUACGAAACCGCCCAAAGAGUUAAGCAAACUUUACAACGUUACAAAGAACUUCAGGACAUUAUAGCUAUCCUUGGAUUGGACGAAUUAUCCGAAGAGGAUCGUUUACUCGUAGCAAGAGCGCGAAAAAUUGAGCGUUUCUUAUCACAACCCUUUUUCGUAGCAGAAGUAUUUACCGGUUCUCCAGGGAAAUAUGUUGGUCUAGCAGAAACAAUUCGAGGAUUUCAAUUGAUCCUUUCCGGAGAAUUAGAUGGUCUUCCUGAACAGGCCUUU